UACGGAGGGUGCAAGCGUUGUCCGGAAUCACUGGGCGUAAAGGGCGCGUAGGCGGCCUGGUAAGUAGGGGGUGAAAUCCUGCGGCUUAACCGCAGGGCUGCCUUCUAAACUGUCAGGCUUGAGCACGGUAGAGGCAGAUGGAAUUCCCGGUGUAGCGGUGGAAUGCGUAGAGAUCCGGAGGAAGACCGGUGGCGAAGGCGGUCUGCUGGGCAGUUUCUGACACUGAUGCGCGACAGCGUGGGGAGCAAACAGG
This 253-nucleotide ribosomal RNA is filed under the name uncultured bacterium. RNAcentral's name for it is "partial 16S ribosomal RNA". It matches the Rfam family "Bacterial small subunit ribosomal RNA", at positions 524 to 776 of the family's 1533-position model. The record is from RNAcentral.